RNAcentral lists this ribosomal RNA (227 nucleotides) under Enterobacter sp. HN503E2II. RNAcentral's name for it is "partial 16S ribosomal RNA". It matches the Rfam family "Bacterial small subunit ribosomal RNA", at positions 1 to 222 of the family's 1533-position model. RNAcentral also lists the same sequence under 1 other name. The record is from RNAcentral. Lineage: Bacteria; Pseudomonadati; Pseudomonadota; Gammaproteobacteria; Enterobacterales; Enterobacteriaceae.
ACUUAAAUUGAAGAGUUUGAUCAUGGCUCAGAUUGAACGCUGGCGGCAGGCCUAACACAUGCAAGUCGGGCGGUAGCACAGAGAGCUUGCUCUCGGGUGACGAGCGGCGGACGGGUGAGUAAUGUCUGGGAAACUGCCUGAUGGAGGGGGAUAACUACUGGAAACGGUAGCUAAUACCGCAUAACGUCGCAAGACCAAAGAGGGGGACCUUCGGGCCUCUUGCCAUC